AAUGAACGCUGGCGGCAUGCCUAACACAUGCAAGUCGAACGAAGCCUUCGGGCUUAGUGGCGCACGGGUGCGUAACGCGUGGGAAUCUGCCCUUGGGUUCGGAAUAACUCUCCGAAAGGAGUGCUAAUACCGGAUGAUGUCGAAAGACCAAAGAUUUAUCGCCCAGGGAUGAGCCCGCGUAGGAUUAGCUAGUUGGUGAGGUAAAAGCUCACCAAGGCGACGAUCCUUAGCUGGUCUGAGAGGAUGAUCAGCCACAUUGGGACUGAGACACGGCCCAGACUCCUACGGGAGGCAGCAGUGGGGAAUAUUGGACAAUGGGCGAAAGCCUGAUCCAGCAAUGCCGCGUGAGUGAUGAAGGCCUUAGGGUUGUAAAGCUCUUUUACCCGGGAUGAUAAAGACAGUACCGGGAGAAUAAGCCCCGGCUAACUCCGUGCCAGCCGCCGCAGUAA
Molecule: ribosomal RNA, 449 nt
Filed under: uncultured bacterium
Lineage: Bacteria
Description: partial 16S ribosomal RNA
Rfam family: Bacterial small subunit ribosomal RNA
Source: RNAcentral